Molecule: long non-coding RNA, 808 nt
Organism: Equus quagga
Lineage: Eukaryota; Metazoa; Chordata; Mammalia; Perissodactyla; Equidae
Exons: 13
Source: RefSeq, a predicted model, not a curated record
CCGUGGGCCCCUGCGAGGUGGUAUUUAAGUGUCUAGCUGUGCACUUUCGGCCUCGUUUUCUUCCUGCUGCACCGGGGUUCAGGCGCCCGAUUGAACGCUGAAGACUCGAAAAGAUCCCUCCUGUUGUUAAGAAGGUGGUUCAGCUCAAAAGAGAUUGCGGGUUGGAGGAUGGGACAAGACCUACUCCUGUGCGAAUCGAGCACCGCUGUGAUGCUCCAGCAUCUUCUCACCAAUUCUGAGGAAUUCAGCUGCCUCCCAGGAUGAUGAAUACAGCUUGUUCUUGGAAUGAUUUUCCUGGGGAGAGAGAGCAACCCGGCAGCACAGUUGGUUCUUGUGAGGGUGUGCUCUUCCCUCAUCCACAUGUCACUGUCAGAUGAUUUGAAUUGAUAUGCUGAUCCUCCAUGAGGUUGUCCAGAUUAUAAAUUCAUCUGUGUUCCGAUGCCCUGUGAUCUGCCCCAGGUCCACUCCUGUAAAGAGUGGAGAGUGGAGCGCCUUGUUUGUGUAUACUACUGGAAAGCCUCCAGAAUUGAAAGGUGCUGUUACCAGUAACCUGCUUUUUUGCUCGAAGGUCCAGCACCUUGUCGGGAGCCCAAGAAUGAUUUGAGCGAAAGCAUACGCCAUAUUUCUGCUCAACUCCAGUCUGAAGUUAGAGGACUGAAGAAAGAUCAAAGCGCAUAAAAUGGAAUCCAGCUCUUGGAGGACAUCGGAAAGGGAAUUUUCAAGUUGUUUCUUGUACAACCUAGCUAUUCAAAUUGGCAUAUAGGAACAUUUCAGCCUUUCUAAAUAAAAAGGGUUUUUUUAAUCGUGA